This 615-nucleotide ribosomal RNA is filed under the name uncultured Synechococcus sp. RNAcentral describes it as "bacterial SSU rRNA". It matches the Rfam family "Bacterial small subunit ribosomal RNA", at positions 122 to 770 of the family's 1533-position model. Lineage: Bacteria; Bacillati; Cyanobacteriota; Cyanophyceae; Synechococcales; Synechococcaceae. The record is from RNAcentral.
GAAUCUACCUUCAGGUUCGGGACAACCACUGGAAACGGUGGCUAAUACCGAAUGUGCCGAGAGGUGAAAGGCUUGCUGCCUGAAGAAGAGCUUGCGUCUGAUUAGCUAGUUGGUGUGGUAAAGGCGCACCAAGGCGACGAUCAGUAGCUGGUCUGAGAGGAUGAUCAGCCACACUGGGACUGAGACACGGCCCAGACUCCUACGGGAGGCAGCAGUGGGGAAUUUUCCGCAAUGGGCGCAAGCCUGACGGAGCAACGCCGCGUGAGGGAUGAAGGCCUCUGGGCUGUAAACCUCUUUUAUCAAGGAAGAAGAACUGACGGUACUUGAUGAAUAAGCCACGGCUAAUUCCGUGCCAGCAGCCGCGGUAAUACGGGAGUGGCAAGCGUUAUCCGGAAUUAUUGGGCGUAAAGCGUCCGCAGGCGGUUUUACAAGUCUGUCGUUAAAGCGUGGAGCUCAACUCCAUUUCAGCGAUGGAAACUGUAAGACUCGAGUGUGGUAGGGGCAGAGGGAAUUCCCGGUGUAGCAGUGAAAUGCGUAGAUAUCGGGAAGAACACCAGUGGCGAAAGCGCUCUGCUGGGCCAUAACUGACGCUCAUGGACGAAAGCCAGGGGAGCG